RNAcentral lists this ribosomal RNA (253 nucleotides) under uncultured bacterium. Its description in RNAcentral is "partial 16S ribosomal RNA". It matches the Rfam family "Bacterial small subunit ribosomal RNA", at positions 524 to 776 of the family's 1533-position model. The record is from RNAcentral.
UACAGAGGUGGCAAGCGUUGUUCGGAAUUACUGGGCGUAAAGGGCGCGUAGGCGGUUCGUUAAGUCCUGUGUGAAAUCCCCCGGCUCAACUGGGGAACUGCACAGGAAACUAGCGGGCUUGAGUUCGGGAGAGGGAAGCGGAAUUCCGGGUGUAGCGGUGAAAUGCGUAGAUAUCAGGAAGAACACCCGUGGCGAAAGCGGCUCUCUGGAACGGUACUGACGCUGAGACGCGAAAGCGUGGGGAGCGAACAGG